CUGGAUUCCACCAUUGAGGAGUUUCUUCUAAAAUCUGUGAAAGCAUCCAAGUUCCCAUCGGGAUAAGCUCUGGUUAUCAUCUUUGCCAGCUGCUACAGGUUCUUAAGCAUAUAGGGGACCUCAUCAUAAUCUGUGAAUAGAGGAGAAAGAGAAAUCUGCAAUUCAGGGCAAUUAGCCUAAGAAGGUUAAAUAAAAACCUCAGUCCCCAGCCUCUUGCUUGGCUC
Molecule: long non-coding RNA, 224 nt
Filed under: Phascolarctos cinereus (koala)
Lineage: Eukaryota; Metazoa; Chordata; Mammalia; Diprotodontia; Phascolarctidae
Description: lncRNA (ENSPCIG00000035785.1)
Source: RNAcentral